CCUACGGGCGGCAGCAGUGGGGAAUAUUGCACAAUGGGCGCAACCCUGAUCCAGCGACGCCGCGUGAGCGAAGAAGUAUUUCGGUUUGUAAACCUCUUUUAGCAGGGAAGAAAAUGACGCUACCUGACUAAGAUGCCCCGGCUAACUACGUGCCAGCAGCCGCGGUGAUACGUAGGGGGCAAGCGUUAUCCGGAUUUACUGGGUUUAAAGGGAGCGUAGACGGAAUGGCAAGUCAGAUGUGAAAUACCGGGGCUCAACCCCGGGACUGCAUUUGAAACUGUUAAGCUUGAGUGUCGGAGAGGUAGGCGGAAUUCCUAGUGUAGCGGUGAAAUGCGUAGAUAUUAGGAAGAACACCAGUGGCGAAGGCGGCCUACUGGACGAUGACUGACGGUGAGGCGCGAAAGCGUGGGGAGCAAACAGGAUUAGAUACCCCAGUAGUC
This 440-nucleotide ribosomal RNA is filed under the name uncultured bacterium. Its description in RNAcentral is "partial 16S ribosomal RNA". It matches the Rfam family "Bacterial small subunit ribosomal RNA", at positions 338 to 795 of the family's 1533-position model. The record is from RNAcentral.